AACGAACGCUGGCGGCAGGCCUAACACAUGCAAGUCGAGCGAGACCUUCGGGUCUAGCGGCGGACGGGUUAGUAACGCGUGGGAACGUGCCCUUCUCUGCGGAAUAGCCACUGGAAACGGUGAGUAAUACCGCAUACGCCCUUCGGGGGAAAGAGUUUAUCGGAGAAGGAUCGGCCCGCGUUAGAUUAGAUAGUUGGUGGGGUAACGGCCUACCAAGUCUACGAUCUAUAGCUGGUUUUAGAGGAUGAUCAGCAACACUGGGACUGAGACACGGCCCAGACUCCUACGGGAGGCAGCAGUGGGGAAUCUUAGACAAUGGGCGCAAGCCUGAUCUAGCCAUGCCGCGUGUGUGAUGAAGGUCUUAGGAUCGUAAAGCACUUUCGCCAGGGAUGAUAAUGACAGUACCUGGUAAAGAAACCCCGGCUAACUCCGUG
Molecule: ribosomal RNA, 434 nt
Filed under: uncultured bacterium
Lineage: Bacteria
Description: bacterial SSU rRNA
Rfam family: Bacterial small subunit ribosomal RNA
Source: RNAcentral